This 448-nucleotide long non-coding RNA is filed under the name Cavia porcellus (domestic guinea pig). RNAcentral describes it as "lncRNA (ENSCPOG00000039355.1)". Lineage: Eukaryota; Metazoa; Chordata; Mammalia; Rodentia; Caviidae. The record is from RNAcentral.
GUUCUGUCCCUACACCAGAAUGUCCACCUCAGGAGGCAGGGACAGUGUCUGCCUUGGUCACGGCUAUGCCCAGGCUUAUCACAGUGCUAGGCAUCCGGCAGGACUCAGUACCUAUUUAAAAAUCAACAAAUCAAGCAGAUGCGUGAUGCCAUCCGGGUGCUGAAUGACAGAUGAAAACCAGGUGCUCUGGGCACCUGGGCACAGGGCCCUGCCCUACGUCUCCCUCCGAAGGUGCCCCGAGCCAUGCAGCCGCUUCUGUACCUUCUGGCCACUGACCCAGGCCCUGACCUUCCUCCUGGCAGGUGCUGCCCCUGCCCACUCCCAGCAAAGGUUUGUACCCUGCCUUUUUCCCUAGGUAUAUCACUCAUUCGCCAUUAAGGAUCACAUUGUUCGUGAAUGCAUGAUGUGCCCUCUAAAAGCAUGGCCAGCAGUUAUUGAGCGCCUACUG